RNAcentral lists this long non-coding RNA (541 nucleotides) under Mus caroli (Ryukyu mouse). RNAcentral's name for it is "lncRNA (MGP_CAROLIEiJ_G0004540.1)". Lineage: Eukaryota; Metazoa; Chordata; Mammalia; Rodentia; Muridae. The record is from RNAcentral.
UUGUCUGAAAGUGAGCAGCUGGUUACACCAUGAAUUCCCCUCCACAGUGCUCUGCCUUACCAUAGACUCAUAAGUAACAGGACCCUUUCUGCCAUCUGGAUCAUCUACUUUCUGCUUCUUGACCAAGACACACACAUGAGCAAACAGGCUACUCUUCCAAGCCUGGGGAAUGUUAUCCUCUGCAUAAUAUCUGUGUUCACAGUGGAGGUUAACUCUUGUCUGACCACGUAUAUGCUACAAAGCUCAAAAGAGAAAGGAGGAUAUGGGGGAAGCUGAACUUGAAAGAAGGCAGAGGAAAUGGAAGGCCUACAAAAAUUUCCUCGAGGAGCAAAAGGAAACAUCUCUUAUUUGACUGCUCACAAAAGAAGCUUGGAGAAGAACCUAGGUCCUCGUAGUCUGCUCCGUACAGCUGAGGACAGUACCCAGAAAGGUGAGGAGAACUCUGAAGAGCUACCUGGUCCUAGCAUGGAUUGUGCUUUUCUGAGCCUAUGGCCCAGGGAUGGGUUAAUAACUUCUCCCUGGCCUUAUCUUUACCAUCAAA